Molecule: ribosomal RNA, 256 nt
Filed under: uncultured bacterium
Lineage: Bacteria
Description: partial 16S ribosomal RNA
Rfam family: Bacterial small subunit ribosomal RNA
Source: RNAcentral
CGGCACAGCGGGAAGCCAGGUGGUGACACCGAGCAGAACCGAAAGCCGUUCUCAGUUCGGAUCGGAGUCUGCAACCCGACUCCGUGAAGCUGGAUUCGCUAGUAAUCGCGCAUCAGCCAUGGCGCGGUGAAUACGUUCCCGGGCCUUGUACACACCGCCCGUCAAGCCAUGGAAGCCGGGGGCGCUUGAAGUGCGUUGCCGCAAGGCGCGCCCUAGAGCGAAACCGGUGACUGGGGCUAAGUCGUAACAAGGUACC